RNAcentral lists this ribosomal RNA (468 nucleotides) under uncultured bacterium. RNAcentral's name for it is "partial 16S ribosomal RNA". It matches the Rfam family "Bacterial small subunit ribosomal RNA", at positions 28 to 507 of the family's 1533-position model. The record is from RNAcentral.
GACGAACGCUGGCGGCGUGCUUAACACAUGCAAGUCGAACGGAAAGGCCCUGCUUUUGUGGGGUGCUCGAGUGGCGAACGGGUGAGUAACACGUGAGUAACCUGCCCUUGACUUUGGGAUAACUUCAGGAAACUGGGGCUAAUACCGGAUAGGAGCUCCUGCUGCAUGGUGGGGGUUGGAAAGUUUCGGCGGUUGGGGAUGGACUCGCGGCUUAUCAGCUUGUUGGUGGGGUAGUGGCUUACCAAGGCUUUGACGGGUAGCCGGCCUGAGAGGGUGACCGGCCACAUUGGGACUGAGAUACGGCCCAGACCCCUACGGGAGGCAGCAGUGGGGAAUAUUGCACAAUGGGCGGAAGCCUGAUGCAGCAACGCCGCGUGCGGGAUGACGGCCUUCGGGUUGUAAACCGCUUUCGCCUGUGACGAAGCGUGAGUGACGGUAAUGUGUAAAGAAGCACCGGCUAACUACGUG